ACAGAUACUCACUGAAGAGUAUCUAAAAGCAUCAUGCUUGCACCUAUUUAUCUGUUUCCCGCUCCCCCCCCCCGUCUCCAUUACCAAAUGAUGUCUUCAACCAAUCUUUGCAUAAACAGAAAAUGAAAGAGACCUAUAAUUUCUGUAUUUUGUCUUUUGAUCCCGACAGCAUUAUUAUUUUAGAAGAGAGGUCUAGAUCAACCACUUUAAAAUGACACCAACAGAAGGGCAGUGAAGAAGGCAUUCUUGGAGGCUGCACAUUUCUGGAAGACAGCAUGACAAUAUGCCUCAAGUGCAAACAGUUUAUCCAUCUAUACAUAAUGAAACUAAAGAAGAUAAAGCUGUUUGUUCCUUGGGACAGUCUAAGAAUAAAUAAAAGACAGAAAAUUUUUCAAAAGGAAGAAAAAGCUCUCCAGCAACUCUGCUCUAGAUUUAAAGGAGAGGAAACAGUGCAGCAGGUCAGAGCACUGCUUGUGGGAUAAGACUCGCAUCUCGUUUGCUGUGUGACCUCAGGCAAGUUUCUUAACCUUUCCGUGCAUUCGUUUCUCAUUUGUAAGAUGGGAGUGACAACAGUACCCUACAUGUGAGAUUGAUGUGAAAAUUACACACCAAUAAAAUAAAAGUUAAUGGAACAAUUCAUGACGCUGAAUAAGUGCAAGGGAAGUGUGAGCUAUUACUAUUAUUAUAUUCAUCAAUACGGAAAACAAUAUUCUAAGGCAUUAAUUUAUGUUACAGAGGCCACAACAGAUUAGUGGUUUAAAUGCAGGUCUAGCUUCAAGGCUGUCUCUCCUAAGGACAGCGUUGCUGGUGGGACUUUGAUUCUGAUGCCCUGAGUUAUUUCCCCAGCUUUCUGGAGCUCCAAUCCCGUGAACUAGGACGUGUUCCUCUCAGGUCUCAGUUUCCUUCUUUGUGCACUCUGACAAUAGGGACCUCUUCCCAAUAUAAUUCCUAUGCUUCUCAUACUUAGGUUAAGAAGCAGAUGAUUUAAAAGUGGGUCAAAAUUAUGGAGAACCAAAAAGGGUUCAGUGGUAUUGUGGACUUUCAAUUUUAAGUAAAAAUUCCUCAUUUCAAAGAUGAAAAUAGAUCAUGGAAACAUUGCCCAACAUUGAGGUCCUGAAAAAUAUUGAUUCAUUUUUUAUUCCUUACAUUUUAUUUUUAUAGGAAUUUAUGUUUCUAGAUUGAUUUGUGUAUUCUUUUUAUGAUUUUAUUUUGAUUGUGUUUUACUUAUGUUGUAAUUAAUGAACAGACAUCUCGAUAUUUAGGAAGAGUCUUCAAAGGAAGCAGAAUUAACUUUUUAAAAUGUUGAACUAACAUGUUUUCCAAGCAGGUAGAAAGUGUAAACCACACUCCAAACUGCAGACCUGUAACUUAAUACACUCCUGGUAAACAUGGCUUCCUUCCUGUCCCUAAGAAAUGAGGCAAGAACAACUUUUGGACGUUAAGUGGCUUAUAAAAGAAAAUAUUGAAUGAGUUGAAUAAAAGAAUGAACAAUGCCAUAUGACUUAAAUUUCCUAAACGUUCUCUAGAUUUUAAAGUAAAAGGCAUUUUGACCUUGGCACAAUGUACCUCAGAGUUGGCUGAACCAAACGUAUUUCAAAGACACUUUGAACUUUCAGUUGAGCUUAAAACGUUUCUUGUUUCCACAAGCCUUAAAACCAUGGCUUAUUUUAUCCAGAAAUGUUGUAUCUUUAUAUUAGAAGAAAAAAAUAAAAAUUUGGAUAUGUGUGAGAAUAAAUAAGAGGUUUUACAUGUAGGUGAUCUGUUAAGAUAUGUUUACAAACUGGGGUAGCUUGUCUUCAAUAUGUCCCCAGUGAACUUGGCCUCCUGUUAGUCACACCGUUGUGUAGUUCCCUCUCUCAGUGCACCACAGAGAGGUCUGUGUCACCAAAAAUAAUGACAGUAUGUGUCUGCUUCAAUGUUUCUCUAUUAGAGAGUGGCUUGUUUCCAGACAAGAGGAACAUGUGUUUCCAGAUCAACCACCUCAAAGUUUCAAGUUCUUUUACAUUUUUUAAACUGGUGAGCACAUAUAUACAAAGCAAUACAAAGAGAAGCCAUAGUGUUUUUUUUAAUAAAUAAAUAAUAUAUCAGUUUGGCAGCCUUAUUUUUGUGUGGACUUUGUGAAGUUUCAAUAUUUUAAAAAUUCACACAUUGGGAGGCCGAGGUGGGAGGAUAGCUUGAGCUCAGGAGGUUGAGACCAGCCUAGGCAAUAUGGUGCGACCCCAUCUCUACAAAAAGUUAAAAAAUUAGCCAGGUGUGGUGGCACACGUCUGUCAUCUCAGCUACUCAGGAGGCUGAGGCAGGAGGAUCACUUGAGCACGGGUCAAGGCUGCAGUGAGCGAUGGUCGUACCACUGCAUUCCAGCCCAGGCAACAGAGUGAGACCCUGUCUCAAAAAACAAAACAAAACAGAAAACAAACAAAAAAAUCUCAAUCCACCUAUAUCUUUUGCUUCUGUUUUACAAAUAUUAGAAAAUACUCUCUCUCAGAAUGGAUGCUCUUUUUUGUAUUUUACAUUUAUGAAACUGGGGAAGAUGUAAAAGAUGUAACUGGCCAGACACAGUGGCUCAAGCCUGUAAUCUCAGCAUUUUGGGAGGCCGAGACAGGCGGAUCACGAGAUCAGGAGUUUGAGACCAGCCUGACCAACAUGGUGAAACCCUAUCUCUACUAAAAAUACAAAAAUUAGCUGGGCGUGCUGGCGGGCGCCUGUAAUCCCAGCUACUCAGGAGGCUGAGGCACGAGAAUCACUUGAACCUGAAAGGCAGAGGUUUCAAUGAGCCGAGAUCAUGCCGCUGUACUCCACCCUCGGUGACAGACUGAGAUUCUGUCUCAAAAAAAAAAAAUAAGUUAGGCUUCUGCCUAUAAAUGUUCCCUAUAUAUGUCCUAUAUCUCCUUAAUCUCCUAAAUCCCCAGUUUGAAACAACCUUUCAAGGAAAUCUUUCAUUGGCCAUAACGUUGCAUAAACAUAAUAUACAAUCCUAAUCUACAGCAUUGGAAUUGGGAUCACAUUCUUGCUAGGCAGUUGAAAAUUUUGAAAUCACUGGAUGGCAGCAGGAAGAAAAAGUAACAGCUUAAGUCAAAUGACUACUUUAUAGAAAUGAAUAUAUUCAUUGUCUUCUUGACUUCAAACACAUGACAUAGUUGUUCUGUACCUUUGAAGUCAGAUUAAACUUUGGCACCAUUUAUAAGGUAGCCACUGGGAAAGUUUACGUGGUCAUGUAGACACAACUGUAAUACUCCAAAUUAUGGGUUUUGCCAGACAAGGUUUCCUCAGAACUAUGCAUACCCCCACCACUUCAAGGAAGGACCGUGAACACUUGCGCCUCUUUAAUUUUGUAUCCAAAGUUUUCUCCGUUUGCCUUUGUUUCCGUUAGCUCUUUGGCAAGCAUCUGUUGUUUUUUGUUUCCUCAUUUGGAAGGACAUUUUGUUGAUGUUAUUCGUUGUUAAUGAAAUUUGUGUUUUUCACUUAUACUAUGGAAAAUUACAUUCACCCAACUUGCUCAUCAUAAAACUUACAUUAAAGAAAAUCUCAUUUAAGAUAGUAAAAGGUUACGUACAUUUUCGGAGACUGGAAGGCAGAAUUUAACACAGAACUAAGUCUCAGUAUUGCAAACAUACUAACUUUUAAGUGGCUGCUUUAUUUGCUUAUUAGGGGAAUAAUUGAAACUCUCUCCUACUCAAUUUUAUUACCCUUUGGGAUACGAGAAGACUUUCCAGCUCCACGUGAUGCCGCAUUUUUAACCCUAAGAAUAUAUUUCCCAGCAGGUGAAAUCUACUCAACUUUACAUAUUCAGGUGCUUUAUUUUCAUCAUCAAGCAAAUAGCUUAUAUCCCAUCAGUAUAAAAUAUGCAUACAAGGUAAUUUAACUAAUAUGUAUUGGCAUCAUUUUUAUAUAAAGGUCCCAUUGUGGAUUUUAAAACCUAUCUUGCUGAAAAUGAUACCCGCCAACCAAAUAAUAAGGAAAUAAUUUAUGUUGCUCUUUAGACAACAUUAUCCUGAAUUACCAAUUUUUGGCCAUCAAGCCGAACUUUAUAAUGUCACUAUUCUUAACAUCUGUUGAACUCUAGGCAGAAAAAUUACUCCUGAAAACACAGUAAAGCUCUAGAAAAGUGGAUAUUGAAUGUCCUUUCACUGGCUAUUUCCCAUCUGACAUGUUGGAAAUAUAUUUUUAAGCUUUGGGUUUUCAUUUUUCAGUUUUAUUCAUGCAAAUGCACAUUUUAAGUAUGUAUUUGCUUUCAUAAAUCAGUCUUUUCCUUUAAUUCAGUGUCACACUUUGUCGCCCAGGCUGGAGUGCAGUGGUACGAUCAUAGCUCACUGCAGCCUUGAACUCCUGGGCUCAAGUUCCUCCCACCUUGGCUUCCCAAAGCACUGGGAUUACAAGUCUGAGUUACUGUGUCCAGCCAGUCUUUUUUUUUUUUUUUUUAACAUCAUUCAAAACACUUCUCUCUGUUGCCUCCUUGACAUCUAGCUUAUUCACAAAUACAAGGAAGGGUGAAUUCGUUUGUCUGUUGACUAUACUCAGUUUCCACAGCUCCAGAGUUGAGAGGAACACAAUAUUAUAGUACUAUUUUGAUCACUGCAUAUCAGACCUAUCUAGUUGAGGGUGCUUUUACACUUUUGUUUUGAGGGUGUCACUGUUCCCUCAAAGACAACUUCAAUUUAUGUCCUUUUAAUCAGAACUAUACUAAUAUUUAUGGCUUUUUUACCAACAAAGCAUUUUUUAGAGAAGCUGUACAGAGAAACUGUACUACAAUUCUUAGACUCUUUUGUGGUGCAUAUCCAACAUGUAAUGGAAUCCCUUGAUCAGUUUUCUGUACAAUAUGA
This 4820-nucleotide long non-coding RNA is filed under the name Macaca nemestrina (pig-tailed macaque). RNAcentral describes it as "lncRNA (ENSMNEG00000045770.1)". Lineage: Eukaryota; Metazoa; Chordata; Mammalia; Primates; Cercopithecidae. The record is from RNAcentral.